Molecule: long non-coding RNA, 835 nt
Filed under: Apteryx rowi (Okarito brown kiwi)
Lineage: Eukaryota; Metazoa; Chordata; Aves; Apterygiformes; Apterygidae
Description: lncRNA (ENSARWG00000013564.1)
Source: RNAcentral
GAGUACCAGUGCUCCGUUCUACCAAGCUGUACCAGUUUGGAAUUUUACACUUUGGGGCAAGAGAUCUUCUACUACGUGUAGUUUGCAGCCUAAUUAAUGGUGAUACUGCUCCUGACUUUUCCCCAGCUUAAGAUAUGAAUAAACAGGGAGGUGUUCUCUGUUACCAUUUCCCUGUUGCUGGAGCAUAUCCUUGAGUACAUACCACUUUUAAACGUCCUUUGGCAAGCCUUUGUGCCCCCUGGAGAUGCGUCACACCAGGGCUGGCCAACCUGCAGCUGGUGAGCCGUUGAGCCGCACAUCACAUGCUGGGACCGCAUCCUCUGGCUAACCACAAGGCUGUGGUGGCAGACGGCUGCUCUUGCAGGUACCUGGCAUGAGUUUUGCGCCGCUCAACCACAUGAAGAUUUCAGUCAGUGACUCGAAGGAUCAGAAAGGCUGGCUUCCACUGAUUUACAUCAAUGGUUGUUCGUUUGGUGCUCGUGCUUUGCAGCAAGUUCUAUUCAGAUGGAAAUUGGAAUUCAAAGAGCUUGCAGAAAAGCGGUUAUUUAGAAUUCUUUUAAUUAGUUGACUGGCAAUAUCUUAAACAUGCUGGAAAAAUAAGUUGACUAAAAUAUGUUUUGAUUAAACCUGUUAAUGAAACAAAGUAUCACUGAUUUAUUUCUGGUAGAUUCUGAUCUUGGAAGAUUUUAGAACUAGCAGAUCUUAUCAUCUCAUGGUAAUUUUUACACAAAAAGUAGAAAAAUUUUUUUAUCUUCCAAUUAGUUUAAAUAUGAGUAAACAGUACAUAUUGAAUGCAAUUUUUUGAAUAAACUGCAGCUAAGAAAUUUUUUUUGCA